CGGACGGGUGAGUAACACGUGGGUAACCUGCCUGUAAGACUGGGAUAACUCCGGGAAACCGGGGCUAAUACCGGAUGCUUGAUUGAACCGCAUGGUUCAAUUAUAAAAGGUGGCUUUUAGCUANCACUUACAGAUGGACCCGCGGCGCAUUAGCUAGUUGGUGAGGUAACGGCUCACCAAGGCNACGAUGCGUAGCCGACCUGAGAGGGUGAUCGGCCACACUGGGACUGAGACACGGCCCAGACUCCUACGGGAGGCAGCAGUAGGGAAUCUUCCGCAAUGGACGAAAGUCUGACGGAGCAACGCCGCGUGAGUGAUGAAGGUUUUCGGAUCGUAAAACUCUGUUGUUAGGGAAGAACAAGUACCGUUCGAAUAGGGCGGUACCUUGACGGUACCUAACCAGAAAGCCACGGCUAACUACGUGCCAGCAGCCGCGGUAAUACGUAGGUGGCAAGCGUUGUCCGGAAUUAUUGGGCGUAAAGCGCGCGCAGGCGGUUUCUUAAGUCUGAUGUGAAAGCCCCCGGCUCAACCGGGGAGGGUCAUUGGAAACUGGGGAACUUGAGUGCAGAAGAGGAGAGUGGAAUUCCACGUGUAGCGGUGAAAUGCGUAGAGAUGUGGAGGAACACCAGUGGCGAAGGCGACUCUCUGGUCUGUAACUGACGCUGAGGCGCGAAAGCGUGGGGAGCGAACAGGAUUAGAUACCCUGGUAGUCCACGCCGUAAACGAUGAGUGCUAAGUGUUAGAGGGUUUCCGCCCUUUAGUGCUGCAGCAAACGCAUUAAGCACUCCGCCUGGGGAGUACGGUCGCAAGACUGAAACUCAAAGGAAUUGACGGGGGCCCGCACAAGCGGUGGAGCAUGUGGUUUA
This 866-nucleotide ribosomal RNA is filed under the name Bacillus sp. (in: firmicutes). RNAcentral describes it as "bacterial SSU rRNA". It matches the Rfam family "Bacterial small subunit ribosomal RNA", at positions 99 to 948 of the family's 1533-position model. Lineage: Bacteria; Bacillati; Bacillota; Bacilli; Caryophanales; Bacillaceae. The record is from RNAcentral.